This 528-nucleotide ribosomal RNA is filed under the name uncultured Actinomycetes bacterium. Its description in RNAcentral is "bacterial SSU rRNA". It matches the Rfam family "Bacterial small subunit ribosomal RNA", at positions 8 to 522 of the family's 1533-position model. The record is from RNAcentral. Lineage: Bacteria; Bacillati; Actinomycetota; Actinomycetes.
AGAGUUUGAUCAUGGCUCAGGACGAACGCUGGCGGCGUGCUUAACACAUGCAAGUGGUGCGACGAACCAGGGCUUGCCCUGGGGCUAAGCCGCGAACGGGUGAGUAACACGUGGGUAACCUGCCCCGAUGACCGGGACAACCCGAGGAAACUCGGGCUAAUACCGGAUGUGGUGCACAGACAUAAGCCUGUGUACUAAAGGAAGCUUCGGCCUCCGCAUUGGGAGGGGCCCGCGGCCCAUUAGCUUGUUGGUGGGGUCACGGCCUACCAAGGCAACGAUGGGUAGCUGGUCUGAGAGGACGAUCAGCCACACUGGGACUGAGACACGGCCCAGACUCCUACGGGAGGCAGCAGUGGGGAAUCUUGCGCAAUGCGCGAAAGCGUGACGCAGCAACGCCGCGUGGGGGAAGACGGCCUUCGGGUUGUAAACCCCUUUCAGGAGGGACGAAGGUUCACCGGUUAAUAGCCGAGUGGAUUGACGGUACCUCCACAAGAAGCUCCGGCUAACUACGUGCCAGCAGCCGCGGUA